RNAcentral lists this transfer RNA (65 nucleotides) under Dipodomys ordii (Ord's kangaroo rat). It matches the Rfam family "tRNA". Rfam says of the family: Transfer RNA (tRNA) molecules are approximately 80 nucleotides in length. Their secondary structure includes four short double-helical elements and three loops (D, anti-codon, and T loops). Further hydrogen bonds mediate the characteristic L-shaped molecular structure. tRNAs have two regions of fundamental functional importance: the anti-codon, which is responsible for specific mRNA codon recognition, and the 3' end, to which the tRNAs corresponding amino acid is attached (by aminoacyl-tRNA synthetases). tRNAs cope with the degeneracy of the genetic code in two manners: having more than one tRNA (with a specific anti-codon) for a particular amino acid; and 'wobble' base-pairing, i.e. permitting non-standard base-pairing at the 3rd anti-codon position. The record is from Rfam by way of RNAcentral. Lineage: Eukaryota; Metazoa; Chordata; Mammalia; Rodentia; Heteromyidae.
GGUGGCCCAGUGGUAGAGCGCUUGCCUUGCAUGCAAGAGGCCCUGGGUUCGAUUCCUCAGCACCA